This is a long non-coding RNA of Quercus lobata, 720 nucleotides long. RefSeq lists it as uncharacterized. The record is from RefSeq and is a predicted model, not a curated record. The transcript has 2 exons. NCBI's taxonomy places the organism in Eukaryota, Viridiplantae, Streptophyta, Magnoliopsida, Fagales, Fagaceae.
GCCCGUAGUUCAGUCUGUUAUUGUUCCGUAACCCAACUCUGUAUCUGUCGUUACUCUGACAUGUUUUCUUUCAAAAUCAAAACAUAAAACAAAUCAAAACUCCUCUUCCCCAAAACACACUCUUUCUCUCUCUCUCUCAUGCUUGCUUACCCACUGAGGAUGCUACCCACCUAAGUUCUUAGACCCGUUUAUGCUUGGGAUCCUCGGGGUGAUUUCAAGCAAGGAAACCGUGGAGUUACUGAUCUAUUGAUUUAGGGUUUUGAUCGUUACCAACUCGUGAUUUUUGUUAACAAAUUGGAUCUUGAUCUGUUCGUGUUUCUCUUUAUUGGGUAGAGCAAGAUCUGGCAUUAUACUGCUACCUUGUGGUGCUGGAAAGUCUGUAGUUGGUGUCUCUGCAGCUUGCCAAAUAGAAAAAAGCUACCUUUGCUUAACAACAAAUGUUGUUUCUGUGGAUCAAUGAGCUUUCCAAUUCAGGCUAUGGUCAACCAUCUAAGAAGAUCAAAUUAUUAGUUGUGAUUAUUUGUGAAUUGUGAAAUUAGGGAGAAAGUUAUAUAGGUUAGAGAGAGUGAGAAAUUGUACAAGCUGGCACUAAUUGUGUCAUGGUUAUUUUUCAUUUUUGCCUCAAUGUUGUUGUUGUGUUUUGCCUCAAGGAAUGCUGUGAACCUUUGCAUAAAAGAAUAAUACAAAGAAUGCUAGAAAAGUUGCCAAGUUUUGAAUUCU